CAGGUGUCCCCAAAGUAGUCACUGAGACAAGCAUUUGGGAACAAGUGGCUAACAAGGGCAGUGCCCAGGAAAUGCUUUGGCCUCCCUCUGCUCCCCACAGACCAACCGACAUCCUGCUUCUUGUAGCUGAACCCCGACAACUUGCAGUAGGCCCAGAGCAAAGGAGUCGAUGGACCACGGGCCAAGACCUCUGAAACCAUGAGCCAAAAUGAAUCUUUCCUCCUCUAAGUUGUGGCCAGGUGUUUCGGUGACAGUGGCAAAAACCUGACCAGCACAGGCUCCAAGUCUACUUUUACGUCCAGGUUUCUGUGACCUCGGCUAGCUCGCCCCAGUCCCUGAGCUUUCCCUUCUCACAUACUCGCCAUCCUUUAAAACCUUGGCCAUUCACCCAGAGGAAGAACAAUGUGUACCAAACCCGGCGAGUGAUCCGAGGGCCAACGAGGCCAUGUCCAGCACUCCCACGCAGCACUGAGACACGAGCCUGCCUUCCCCAGAUGGCACUUCCCCCCUCAAUCCUGCUCUUCUCCCCAAUGCAGAUGGCCAUGCUUGCUGAGCCUUGGGAACUGUCUCCCCAGUCGCAAACAGCCUUUGACACAGUUACGCUGUGUGCUGUCCUCCAACGUGAAGUGACAAGGCAGGGUGACACUUAAUAUGCCCAGCUUGGUGGAAGUCUGUCUGGACACUGUCUGGUGUGCCUCCCAGAAGAAGAGCACAGGGAGCUGGUGCUAUCACCUCCCCACUCUGCAAAUGAGGAGAGCACAGGUCUGGGAAGGAAUUGGAGGAACAAAGUGGAAAUGAGAUCCAAUCAUGGCUGAAUCCCGUCACAGGCUGAGCCCUUCGAGUCCUAGAAGGCCUUGUUUCUAGAAGUUCAGACUCUGCUACCCUCGUCCUGCCCAGGUGUGCUGUCUGGAGAGCCCAGACUCUUUCUUAGUACAGUCAUUAAAUAAUCAGGUCACUGGGUUCCUUUUCCAGGGUCUGAUCAUUUCCAUUUCACGUUUCCCAAGGAAUGUGGGGUCCCAUGAAGUAGCCAGCUCAGAUGUUAUGUAUUCAAUGAAGGACAGAGUGAUCUCGUGUUUGCAUUGAACCAAGGAUUUGAGGUGGACCCCCUGGGAAUUUAUGAGUGAAGGAUUUCCACCAUUUUUCUCAUCUCAUGCUGAGUGAGAGUGGCAGAAUCAACUCUGAGUGAAGGCAUCCAGUUUAAGCUGCUAAUUACUUCCUAAUCAUGCAGAAUAAAAUCUACAUCCCUUAAAACACACCAGACAGUGAAACAUGAUCUUUGCUUUUCCCUGAUACUCUGGAAGGAAUCCACACAUUACUGUCAUAACCACUCUGUAAAGGGAGUGCCCAGCUAUAGCAACUUGCUUCUUGGUUUGUCCCCACAGUUUGUCCUGGGCUGUGGUUCUGAUGGCCACUCCAUGUCACUGCAGCCCUUCUGGGCAGGCCAAGGGCAUGGUUCAACCACACACAGGAGGUGGGCCAGCACAGAACCUCCCGAGUGUGCUCACGAUCAAGCAUGGGUCUGCUGGGAUUUUUUAGCAGAUGAGGCACCUGGAGGAGCAAGGUAUGGAGACGAUGACCUAGACAGAGCGGAAUGCUGAAGUCCAAAGUAAUCAGGGGUUACAGCUAACUGUAGGUCCAUCUGUGUGCACCAAAAAGCAGCCAGGAUUUCCAGGGGGUCUAUUACCCCUUCUCACAGUACAGUCUGGUGAGUGUUUUAACAGACUGUGAUUCAAAGAAGGGAAAGAAUCCUCCAAACUCUCAAAAAGAAGACAGAGAAGGGGAAGGGAUGCAAGAGGUCAGGUUUUACCAUUUUACACAUUCAUAUUUGGUUCAAGCUGGUAUUUCUUCUUCUACAAUAGCUCAACUGAACUCAUGAUCUUGGGAAAAAACGUUGGUUUUGAGAUUCAGACAACAAGAGCAUUUUUAACGCUUAUUCUUUUACCUUGAAAAUGACCCUGCGUACGGCUCACUGUAAGCAUUUCAAAUGACAAACAGGUGGUGACACACUAGGGUUCUUCCACAUCUCUUCCCCAGGGGCACGUUCCUCUGGAUAUGGCUCUGUCCAUGCUCUACCCCAUGUGGUCCCAUGA
This is a non-coding RNA of Ictidomys tridecemlineatus (thirteen-lined ground squirrel), 2090 nucleotides long. NCBI's taxonomy places the organism in Eukaryota, Metazoa, Chordata, Mammalia, Rodentia, Sciuridae. The record is from RefSeq and is a predicted model, not a curated record.